GCGGAGGAAAAGAAACUAACAAGGAUUCCCCUAGUAACGGCGAGUGAAGCGGGAAGAGCUCAAAUUUAAAAUCUGGCGGUCACCCGUCCGAGUUGUAGUCUAGAGAAGCAUCAUUUACGCUGGACCAUGUACAAGUCUCUUGGAACAGAGCGUCAUAGAGGGUGAGAAUCCCGUCCUUGACAUGGACUCCCAGUGUUCUGUGUUGUGCUCUCAACGAGUCGAGUUGUUUGGGAAUGCAGCUCAAAAUGGGUGGUAAAUUCCAUCUAAAGCUAAAUAUUGGCGAAAGACCGAUAGCGAACAAGUACCGUGAGGGAAAGAUGAAAAGCACUUUGGAGAGAGAGUUAAACAGUACGUGAAAUUGUUGAAAUGGAAACGCUUGAAGUCAGUCGCGUUCUCUGGGAUUCAGCCUUGCUUUUGCUUGGUGCAUUUCCUAGUCUACGGGCCAGCAUGGAUUUCGACCGUCGGAGAAGGGCUGGGGGAAUGUGGCACUUUCGGGUGUGUUAUAGCCCCCCGUCGCACACGUCGGUUGGGAUCGAGGACCUCAGUGCACGCUUCGGUUGUGCUUUGAUGCUGGCGUAAUGGCUUUAAACGACCCGUCU
This 599-nucleotide ribosomal RNA is filed under the name Ceratobasidium cornigerum. Its description in RNAcentral is "eukaryotic LSU rRNA". It matches the Rfam family "Eukaryotic large subunit ribosomal RNA", at positions 50 to 654 of the family's 3401-position model. The record is from RNAcentral. Lineage: Eukaryota; Fungi; Basidiomycota; Agaricomycetes; Cantharellales; Ceratobasidiaceae.